UUCUAGAUGCAUCCUUGGGGAACUGUUCACAAAGAAGCCUAUUUUUCAAGCCAAUCUGGAACUGGCUCAGCUAGAACUGAUCAGCCGACUCUGUGGUAGCCCUUGUCCAGCUGUGUGGCCUGAUGUUAUCAAGCUGCCCUACUUCAACACCAUGAAACCGAAGAAGCAAUAUAGAAGGCGCCUGCGAGAAGAAUUCUCUUUCAUUCCUUCAGCAGCACUUGAUUUAUUGGACCACAUGCUAACACUGGAUCCUAGUAAGCGUUGCACAGCCGAACAGACCCUACAGAGUGACUUCCUAAAAGAUGUUGAGCUCAGC
This is a long non-coding RNA of Galeopterus variegatus (Sunda flying lemur), 316 nucleotides long. RefSeq lists it as uncharacterized. NCBI's taxonomy places the organism in Eukaryota, Metazoa, Chordata, Mammalia, Dermoptera, Cynocephalidae. The record is from RefSeq and is a predicted model, not a curated record. The transcript has 3 exons.